CAUCAACGCGCACGGGUGUUGGGAGACAUAGCCCGGAGAUGGAUUCUGAGACACGAAUCCAGACCCUACGGGGUGCAGCAGGCGCGAAAACUUGGCAAUGCGAGAAAUCGUGACCAGGGAACUCCAAGUGGCUGGGGUAAGACCCAGUCUUUUCUUGACUCUUCAACGGUCUUGGAAUAAGGGGUGGGUAAGGACGGUGCCAGCCGCCGCGGUAAUACCGGCGCCUCAAGUGGUAGUCGAUUUUAUUGGGCCUAAAACGUCCGUAGCCUGUUUGGUACAUUCGUGGGUAAAUCAACCAGCUCAACUGGUUGAAUUCUGCGAGCACGGCCAGACUUGGGACCGGGAGAGGUGUGGGGUACGCUCAGGGUAGGGGUAAAAUCCUGUCAUCCUGAGCGGACCACCUGUUGCGAAGGCGCCACACUAGAACGG
Molecule: ribosomal RNA, 429 nt
Filed under: uncultured euryarchaeote
Lineage: Archaea; Methanobacteriati; Methanobacteriota
Description: bacterial SSU rRNA
Rfam family: Archaeal small subunit ribosomal RNA
Source: RNAcentral